This 73-nucleotide transfer RNA is filed under the name Candidatus Woesebacteria bacterium. RNAcentral describes it as "tRNA-Arg". It matches the Rfam family "tRNA". From Rfam's summary of the family: Transfer RNA (tRNA) molecules are approximately 80 nucleotides in length. Their secondary structure includes four short double-helical elements and three loops (D, anti-codon, and T loops). Further hydrogen bonds mediate the characteristic L-shaped molecular structure. tRNAs have two regions of fundamental functional importance: the anti-codon, which is responsible for specific mRNA codon recognition, and the 3' end, to which the tRNAs corresponding amino acid is attached (by aminoacyl-tRNA synthetases). tRNAs cope with the degeneracy of the genetic code in two manners: having more than one tRNA (with a specific anti-codon) for a particular amino acid; and 'wobble' base-pairing, i.e. permitting non-standard base-pairing at the 3rd anti-codon position. The record is from RNAcentral. Lineage: Bacteria; Candidatus Woeseibacteriota.
GUCUCUGUAGCUUAAUUGGAUAGAGCCCUGGCCUCCGAAGCCGGUAAUACCAGUUCAACUCUGGUCAGAGGCA